AUGGCCACAUCACGUUGAAAUACCUUUUCCCAUGCGAUCACCGAAGUUAAGCAACGUCGAUCCUGGUCAGUACUUAGAUGAUGACCGCUUGAGAAUACCAGGUGCUGUAAG
Acanthosepion pharaonis is the source of this 111-nucleotide non-coding RNA. The record is from the annotation of a GenBank genome assembly. Lineage: Eukaryota; Metazoa; Mollusca; Cephalopoda; Sepiida; Sepiidae.